Molecule: ribosomal RNA, 544 nt
Filed under: uncultured bacterium
Lineage: Bacteria
Description: bacterial SSU rRNA
Rfam family: Bacterial small subunit ribosomal RNA
Source: RNAcentral
AAUAGAUACCCUGGUAGUCCACGCCGUAAACGAUGAGUGCUAAGUGUUAGGGGGUUUCCGCCCCUUAGUGCUGCAGCUAACGCAUUAAGCACUCCGCCUGGGGAGUACGGUCGCAAGACUGAAACUCAAAGGAAUUGACGGGGGCCCGCACAAGCGGUGGAGCAUGUGGUUUAAUUCGAAGCAACGCGAAGAACCUUACCAGGUCUUGACAUCCCAUUGACCGCUAUGGAGACAUAGCUUUCCCUUCGGGGACAGUGGUGACAGGUGGUGCAUGGUUGUCGUCAGCUCGUGUCGUGAGAUGUUGGGUUAAGUCCCGCAACGAGCGCAACCCUUGUUCUUAGUUGCCAUCAUUUAGUUGGGCACUCUAAGGAGACUGCCGGUGACAAACCGGAGGAAGGUGGGGAUGACGUCAAAUCAUCAUGCCCCUUAUAACCUGGGCUACACACGUGCUACAAUGGACGGUACAAACGGUUGCCAACCCGCGAGGGGGAGCUAAUCCGAUAAAACCGUUCUCAGUUCGGAUUGUAGGCUGCAACUCGCCUAC